CUCUGCCUGCAGGGGCGCUCCAGGCCCUGCACCACAGCCAAUCAGGGGCCUGCGCCCGCCUCUGCCGCGCCCUCAUUGGCUGCCUCACCCAGCCAGACCCCGCCCACCCUGACAGCCCCGCCCCCCGGGGGCUGCUGGGGGCCCUGCAGGACCCCGAGCGCAGCCGAUUGGUGGAGGCCGCCCUGGGGGUCCUGGACCCCCCCCAAAUCCGGGGCCUCUUCCGGGAGCACCUGAGGGGGCACCUGAGGGGCGUGGCCUCCCACAGGGUGGCCAAUCAUGGCCUGCAGAGGCUCCUCGGCCACGCCCCCGAGGAUGUGGUGGAGGAGGUGCUGUUGGAGCUGGGCCCCGCCCUGGGGGAGCCGCUGGCCCGGGGCCACCCCGGGGUGGUCACCGCCCUGCUCGGGGCCGCCCGGAGGCACCCCCGGCUCCAGGGCCCCGCCCUCCAAUGGCUGCUCAAGGCUCUGGACUGCUGGGACCCCUCUAGCGCCGCAGCCAAUGCCUGCGCGCCCUGGCUCAGCUCCGCCCCU
Molecule: long non-coding RNA, 527 nt
Organism: Myiozetetes cayanensis
Lineage: Eukaryota; Metazoa; Chordata; Aves; Passeriformes; Tyrannidae
Exons: 4
Source: RefSeq, a predicted model, not a curated record